Molecule: ribosomal RNA, 446 nt
Filed under: uncultured bacterium
Lineage: Bacteria
Description: partial 16S ribosomal RNA
Rfam family: Bacterial small subunit ribosomal RNA
Source: RNAcentral
CCAGACUCCUACGGGAGGCAGCAGUGGGGAAUAUUGCACAAUGGGGGGAACCCUGAUGCAGCGACGCCGCGUGGGUGAAGAAGUCAUUCGUGACGUAAAGCCCUGUCAGCAGGGAAGAAAAUGGCGGUACCUGAAGAAGAAGCCCCGGCUAACUACGUGCCAGCAGCCGCGGUAAUACGUAGGGGGCAAGCGUUAUCCGGAUUUACUGGGUGUAAAGGGGGCGCAGACGGCGAUGCAAGCCAGGAGUGAAAGCCCGGGGCCCAACCCCGGGACUGCUCUUGGAACUGCGUGGCUGGAGUGCAGGAGGGGCAGGCGGAAUUCCUGGUGUAGCGGUGAAAUGCGUAGAUAUCAGGAGGAACACCGGUGGCGAAGGCGGCCUUCUGGACUGCAACUGACGUUGAGGCCCGAAAGCGUGGGGAGCAAACAGGAUUAGAUACCCGGGUAUA